AUUGAACGCUGGCGGCAGGCCUAACACAUGCAAGUCGAGCGGCAGCGGAAAGUAGCUUGCUACUUUGCCGGCGAGCGGCGGACGGGUGAGUAAUGUCUGGGAAACUGCCUGAUGGAGGGGGAUAACUACUGGAAACGGUAGCUAAUACCGCAUAACCUCGAAAGAGCAAAGUGGGGGAUCUUCGGACCUCACGCCAUCGGAUGUGCCCAGAUGGGAUUAGCUAGUAGGUGAGGUAAUGGCUCACCUAGGCGACGAUCCCUAGCUGGUCUGAGAAGAUGACCAGCCACACUGGAACUGAGACACGGUCCAGACUCCUACGGGAGGCAGCAGUGGGGAAUAUUGCACAAUGGGCGCAAGCCUGAUGCAGCCAUGCCGCGUGUGUGAAGAAGGCCUUAGGGUUGUAAAGCGACUUUCAGCGAGGAGGAAGGCAAGUCAUACGUUAAUACGUAGUGGUGAUUGACG
Molecule: ribosomal RNA, 462 nt
Filed under: uncultured bacterium
Lineage: Bacteria
Description: bacterial SSU rRNA
Rfam family: Bacterial small subunit ribosomal RNA
Source: RNAcentral